Molecule: small nucleolar RNA, 134 nt
Organism: Zalophus californianus (California sea lion)
Lineage: Eukaryota; Metazoa; Chordata; Mammalia; Carnivora; Otariidae
Gene: SNORA70
Rfam family: Small nucleolar RNA SNORA70
About the family: snoRNA U70 seems to be exclusive to mammals and is a member of the H/ACA class of snoRNA which contain H (ANANNA) and ACA box motifs. H/ACA box snoRNAs are involved in the conversion of uridines to pseudouridines (5-ribosyluracil) a constituent of structural RNAs (transfer, ribosomal, small nuclear, and small nucleolar).
Source: Ensembl
CUGCAGCCAAUUAAGCCGACUGUGCUCUUUGUCCAUGGGGGUCCAGUGUGCCAUGGCUGCAAACAGUAGCCUCCUUGGGAGUGUAUGCAGCCUGUUGAUUGUAUGGGUUGCCCUAAGGGACCUUGGAGACAGCA